CAUUGAAUUAUGGCUGAGUAUAAAUGCAUAUAUGAUUAGUGAAUAAAUGUGGUAAAUGAAUGAUGAUGGAAAAUGUUGAAUGUGACGUGUGACUCUGGGUAGUAGGCAUUGGCGUUGUCCACUUGUUCCGGGUAUGAGACAGGAAAGGAGGAUUUUGAUAAAUGAGUUUAAUUAUGGAGUUUUAGAUGAAUAU
This is a non-coding RNA of Arachis ipaensis, 193 nucleotides long. The record is from RefSeq and is a predicted model, not a curated record. Lineage: Eukaryota; Viridiplantae; Streptophyta; Magnoliopsida; Fabales; Fabaceae.